UGCCAGCAGCCGCGGUAAUACGGAGGGGGCUAGCGUUGUUCGGAAUUACUGGGCGUAAAGCGCGCGUAGGCGGGCUGGUCAGUUGGGGGUGAAAUCCCGAGGCUCAACCUCGGAACUGCCCUCAAUACUGCCAGUCUAGAGUUCGAGAGAGGUGAGUGGAAUUCCUAGUGUAGAGGUGAAAUUCGUAGAUAUUAGGAAGAACACCAGUGGCGAAGGCGGCUCACUGGCUCGAUACUGACGCUGAGGCGCGAAAGCGUGGGGAGCAAACAGGAUUAGAUA
Molecule: ribosomal RNA, 279 nt
Filed under: uncultured bacterium
Lineage: Bacteria
Description: partial 16S ribosomal RNA
Rfam family: Bacterial small subunit ribosomal RNA
Source: RNAcentral